RNAcentral lists this small RNA (512 nucleotides) under Pongo abelii (Sumatran orangutan). RNAcentral describes it as "retained intron". Lineage: Eukaryota; Metazoa; Chordata; Mammalia; Primates; Hominidae. The record is from RNAcentral.
GUGGUGAAAAGGUGACAGGGAGCUGCCCCUGCUCAAGAGCCGGUGGUUGGGGGUCUGAGAAGAAGUCACCACUAUGAAGUUAUUCGGCUUCGGGAGCCGCAGGGGCCAGACGGCGCAGGGCUCCAUAGACCAUGUCUACACGGGUUCCGGAUACCGAAUCCGGGACUCCGAACUGCAGAAGAUCCACAAGGCGGCUGUCAAGGGCGACGCCGCGGAGGUGGAGCGCUGCCUGGCGCGCAGGAGCGGAGACUGGACGCCCCGGACAAGCAGCACAGGCUGUCCAUUGCCAGGAAGAGGCUUGUGCUGUUAUUUUGCUGGAACAUGGCGCCAAUCCAAACCUCAAGGAUAUCUAUGGCAACAUUGCUCUCCAUUAUGCCGUGUAUAGUGAGAGCACCUCAAUGGCAGAAAUACUGCUUUUCCAUGAUGCAAAUAUUGAAGCACUGGACAAGGUAUAGAUCAAUCAACUUUCUUUCCAAAAUAUUUGUUUUAACAUUCACAUAGGUAAGGGUCAA